This 439-nucleotide ribosomal RNA is filed under the name uncultured bacterium. Its description in RNAcentral is "partial 16S ribosomal RNA". It matches the Rfam family "Bacterial small subunit ribosomal RNA", at positions 339 to 795 of the family's 1533-position model. The record is from RNAcentral.
CUACUGGCCGCAGCAGUGAGGAAUAUUGCACAAUGGGGGGAACCCUGAUGCAGCAACGCCGCGUGGAGGAUGACGCAUUUCGGUGUGUAAACUCCUUUUAUAUGUCAAGAAAAUGACGGUAGCAUAUGAAUAAGCACCGGCUAACUCCGUGCCAGUAGCCGCGGUAAUACGGAGGGUGCAAGCGUUACUCGGAAUCACUGGGCGUAAAGGACGCGUAGGCGGGGUGGAAAGUCAGGUGUGAAAUCCUACAGCUUAACUGUAGAACUGCACUUGAAACUUCUAAUCUAGAGUAUGGGAGGGGGAGAUGGAAUUAGUGGUGUAAGGGUAAAAUCCGUAGAUAUCACUAGGAAUACCUAAAGCGAAGGCGAUCUCCUGGAACAUUACUGACGCUAAGGCGUGAAAGCGUGGGGAGCAAACAGGAUUAGAUACCCCCGUAGUC